Molecule: ribosomal RNA, 443 nt
Filed under: uncultured Bacillota bacterium
Lineage: Bacteria; Bacillati; Bacillota
Description: bacterial SSU rRNA
Rfam family: Bacterial small subunit ribosomal RNA
Source: RNAcentral
GGACCCGCACAAGCGGUGGAGCAUGUGGUUUAAUUCGAAGCAACGCGAAGAACCUUACCUGGUCUUGACAUCCCUCUGACCGAUCCGUAAUGGGAUCUUUCCUACGGGACAGAGGAGACAGGUGGUGCAUGGUUGUCGUCAGCUCGUGUCGUGAGAUGUUAGGUUGAGUCCUGCAACGAGCGCAACCCUUAUCCUUAGUAGCCAGCAAGUAAUGUUGGGCACUCUAGGGAGACUGCCAGGGACAACCUGGAGGAAGGUGGGGAUGACGUCAAAUCAUCAUGCCCCUUAUGACCAGGGCUACACACGUGCUACAAUGGCGUAAACAAAGGGAAGCAAGCAUGUGAGUGUAAGCAAAUCCCAAAAAUAACGUCUCAGUUCGGAUUGUAGUCUGCAACUCGACUACAUGAAGCUGGAAUCGCUAGUAAUCGCGAAUCAGAAUGUCG